Molecule: long non-coding RNA, 1634 nt
Organism: Gossypium raimondii (Peruvian cotton)
Lineage: Eukaryota; Viridiplantae; Streptophyta; Magnoliopsida; Malvales; Malvaceae
Exons: 5
Source: RefSeq, a predicted model, not a curated record
CCCAAGAGGUAAAAACUUUAUUUUGCUAUCUGCUUUGAGUGCUUUCCUUUCAUCCGCUUCUUUAAUCAAGACUCCUUGACCAGUUUCCUUCCAAGGCAAAGGCAUGACGUACGAUUCAAUUCUUCUCCCAUAAGAUAAGUGGUUUCUUCUCUAUUAAGAGCAUUUUUUUUGCUAGUCUAUGUGCUUACAAGUUCUCUGAUCUAGGAAUAUGCUGAAAAAUAAGUUCUUGAAAACAUGAUUUCUUAUUCUGAAUGUCUUUGAUAAUACCUCCAAUCACUGAUUUGUUUGUUGAAGUCGUCUGACAUUUUUAUUAUUGUUUUAGAGUCCCCCAUGAGUUUAACUAAUUGAGUUCUUAGUGAAAUCCCUAACUUUGUACCGUCUAAACAUGCAUAUGCUUCUGUUGCGAAAGGCGAGGGAACAUUUCUAUGAAUAACCGUCUUUAACACCAGUAAAUUUCCCCUUAGGUCCUAUCCCACCAGACCUAUCACUGAUUUGAAGGUUCUACUAUCGAAUGUUGCAUCAAAAUGGAUCGUUGUUCUCGGUAUGUCCUCUUGUAUUCUAUAACUUCUGUUCAUUUUUCCAUUAUUCUUCAAAACUUUUAUUCCUUUAUAUUCUACCGUAUGCCUCUGAUUGUUUUGUGCUAAAACCCUUCCUGUUGUAUUUUUCCCUCAUGUAUGAGUUGGUUUCUGGAGAACCAUAUCAGCCAUAAAGCAUAAUAGAAGAGUCAACAUUGGUCGUUGUUGCUUCUCUUAAAAACCCAGGGCAUUCUCGGAAGACAUGAAGGCUUUCUUCUGUCUAGGAGCAGCAACGAGGGCAUCUAUCAUUUGAAGUGACUUUCCUGUACCUGAGAUUAGCAAGAUUAGGGAUAUAAUCCCAGGAAAUCCGCCAAAUAGUAAUUGCAAUUUUUGAGGGUAGCUGUAGGCUCCAUAAUUUCUUGUAAAAUUCUUUUAUCUCGGUCUGUAAUAAGUAAUUAAUAGGAUUCGGAUUAGCAUCUUGUAAUAGUUUACAGGCACUGCAUACUGAAAACUUGCCAAACAAUUCUCUUUUCCAAAUUUGAGUAUCCUCGUGCUCAGUCACUGCAAGACGGAUCUAUAGAAUUUUUUGAGCAGUUUCCUCUUGAAAGAUAGAAAUAUUGUCUCCUCUGCCCACUCUCCAACACAUCCUUUUUUGAAGAAGUCUAUUUGCUGCCCAGAUACUCUUUCAGGCAAGUGAAGCCGUCAAAGAAAAUUCUUUUCAAAACUGUUUUGGGGAUUCCUUCCGUUCAUAACCAACUGGGUGGAUUACGUAGAGGCCGGGGUCAAAUAGAUUGUGGCUAGGUUCGACAGCAGAUCAGAUUACUCGUUGUUAAGGCGUCACUGUCUACUCAGAAUAAACAUUCGGUUUGAAAGCUAGAAAUGCUAUCCCACACUCUCAAUCAUCUAAAUAGGAGUAGUCUGAAGACACCGGUUACAAAAACAAGAAAGCAAAUCAAAGACUAAAGACAAAAAAAACCUAAAAACUCAUGCCAAGGACGGCAGACAAUAUCAUGCUAGGGUAGUAGUCUUUGAAUUUAUCUCCAUAUCUAUAUUUCUCAAUAGAUUUGUUCAAGAUCCUCCUUUUAUUUCAUUAUUUCAAUAAUAAUAUUGAAUGCAAAA